Molecule: long non-coding RNA, 121 nt
Organism: Sinocyclocheilus grahami
Lineage: Eukaryota; Metazoa; Chordata; Actinopteri; Cypriniformes; Cyprinidae
Exons: 4
Source: RefSeq, a predicted model, not a curated record
GUUUGUGUCGAGUGUAGAUUUGUGUCAACAUUCAGAUACAAUGGAAAAACUAUAGCAAAUUAGCACAAUGAUUUCCCACUACCUAUGGACAAAUUCUGUCCAAUAACUAAUAAAAUAUGUG